UGAUACUGGAGGAAAUCACUUUUUGAGUAAUGACAAAUAUUCAAAGAAAGACAAGUAGAUUUUAACAUAAAGUGCGCUAAAUAUAGCUGUCUUAAGGAUGACUAUGGGUCAUCUAUGCAGGCAUGCAUAUAUAUAUAUAUACUGCUUGCAUUCUUAAAAACCAGUCAGCAGACCUUACGCACUUGGGUCACUUGGCUUAUGUCAAGACGUGUGAGGCUCGAAAUAUGUUCCCAUCUACCACAAAGUGUUAGUUUCUCAGAACUGAAAGAUAUUUCUCAGAAUAUUAGUUUCUGGGAGCAGUGGAGUCAUUAAAGGGAGUCAGUCUUGCAUGGGCUUGAGAUUUAGAAUCAGAUCUGUUUGGUUUGAAUCCUAGCUCUGCUCUUUAUUACCUGUGUGAAUUUGGGCAAACGAUUCAUCUCUCUGAGCAUGAGUUAUGUCAUCUGUAAAAUGGGUUUUAUGAUACCUACCUCAUGAAAUUAUUUUUGGGGUUAUGAAUUUAACAUACAUAAUUAGAACUUUUCCUAUUUAAUAUGUACUAAAUAAAAGAUCUUCAUUAUUCUUGCUACCUGUACGCUCCUCCCAGGUACUGCACAUAGUUUGAAAGACAUACCAGUUACAUCCUCAUCCCUUCUGCAUGUUCCAUUUGAAUGGAGGACAGGCUUUAAAACUAAACUUUAACUGAUGGGAGCUAGAGAUAAAGGACAGAAGGAGGACAAAUAUGCCAGUCGAUCACCAUGGGACACCCAGGUUAAUGCCUGAUAAAUGAGCAGAAAGAAAAAGUUAGCAUCAUUCACCUUUGAUGUGUAGUUACUUGAUCCCUGUUUGCUUUUAAUUUGCUUAAGUUAGUUAUAAAAUAUCUUCUUUGUGAGUAAUUAGUUGUGCUUAUCUGCUUCUUGGAGGGUAGGUGUUGGAGGAGGUCAUCAAAAGGAUGUGACCGCUGGUCAGUCUGUGAGCUGGACCCGAACGAUCAGAGGUUCCUCAUCCCCUUCCCUGUCCUUGGAAUGUAUGUUCUGCCCCCCCCGCCCCAUUCCCACAGUGGGAGCCAGACUUGAGGAUGCAACCCUGAGAGAGUGAUGUGUUGUUGAGAUCAUCUAAACUCAGUAGUGACGGAACCUAGUUAAGGUUUCUACACACCCGUCUAAGACUCUGGAGGGCAGUGCAUAGGUAUUCUCAUCUCGUGACCACCCAAGACAAGCCUCUUAAGUAAGUCUUCCGGCUUAUUAGACCCGCAACCUGCCGGUCUGGAGUGAUCGACACCUUUCCUCUGUCUUUUCUUGCCCUCUGUGUAUGAGGCCAGUUUCAGAUUUCAUCUGGGAAGCUCCCAAGUUUUCAAAACAACAGAAGGAUGUCUUCAUGUUUUGUGCCACAAUUCCCUUCAGUGUGCUCUGCUAACUGUACCUAGUUCAGAAGGAAAAUUAAGUGGGUAUUGCAAACAUAGCAGUCAAGUUAACUCAUACUUAGUUUAAAACCGUCAUAUAUGGCUAUAUGAGGCUGUUCUUCGGUGGUGAAGAGACUGAGAUAUUCUUAAGGUUCCUAAUUUUCUUAACAAAUCAUAAAGCUAAAAAUAAUGUAAGCAAUCAAUUGGCUGCCCUUACCUUUAGAGAAGGCUGUGCCUAGCCCACCUCAGCAGAAAGUUCGUCUGGCUCAUUGCUUCCAAAAUAUUGUUUGUCAAAGGCAGUCCAGUGAGCUUCACCCUUCUUGUAUUCCUUUUCAAGGAAUAACCAUUGUCUUUUGAUGCCUGUUUUUAGCAAGUGACUGUGAAAUGUUAUAGAUGAAUUUCUUGGUGGAAAUAUAAAACUAAUUCACCACUCAAAAGUAUUGUGAGAAUUACAUGCACUUCUGUCCUCAGAAGAGCGAUAAAGAUGAAGUGAGCAGAUGAUAAAGGCAUUACCCUUUCACCUCAUGUCGCCCAUCACACCGUUUUAUUAUUGUGCAUAAAGAGUAGGUAUAAUUUUCAUAUCCAGAUGAGACACAUACACACUUUAAAGAUAUGUCAGUGGGCUGUAAAAAUCCCUCUUCACAGGCAUUAAUUUCUACAAGUUCAUCCUUGAUUAAUAUACAAUAAUAAUAAUUUAUAUGGUUAACAAUGAUUUGGUGCUUACUAUGUGCCAGAUACUAUGAUAAUUACAUACAUGCCAAAUUCUCAUAACAUUUUGUGAAGACAGGUAUUUAUCAGCUGUGUUUCCCAGAUGAGGAAGGUGAAACUUGGAGAAGUUAGGUAACUUUCUCAAGAUUUCUGCAGCUUAGUUGGUAACCAAUGUAUGUUUUGAGUUCAGGCUGACUUGAUUCUGAAGCCUUUGAUGUUGGUAACUAGUCAGAAAUCAGCAGAAGAAAGUUGACGUGGGGGCCAAUAUAUGAUUGUUUUUAUGUAAUACUAUUCUUUUAUGUGUUUCUGGGAGCAUUUGAUUAACAUAAGCAACAUGGGUUUACUAAGCUAUUUACCUCCGUGUCUUCUUUGCAAGCUUGUGGAUGUGACCCUCUCUGCGGGUGAGUGCCACCGGGAGUGAACGACAGCCUCGGAGAUUACGUAAGCACUUAGUGCCAUGGAGCCAAUAAGAGGGCCUAGACUAAGAGCAACUGGGAUGUGUGAAAACGGAUGCUGCUACAAAAAUUAAACCAAUCAGACACUUAUUAAUUCAACAAAGCAGUAAAAAACAAACAACUAUUAUAGCCCAAAUGAUUUUAGGUUUAAAAAACAUACCAAAAAAAAAAACCCAGCAUAAAUUCUCUGUUCUUUACAAGCUGACAUUUUAGUGUGUAUGGCAGGAGAGGAAUUGAUAGGUGUUGUAAUUAAUAAUUGCAAUAAUAAGGUGCAGUCCACAGUAGAGGCAUGGAAGAAAGUAUAGAAGGGAGUGUUUAACUGGUUAGAGUUUAAAAAGUGAUUUUAGAGAAAGUUAUCAUUGAGUGUGAGAUGGAGUCCUUCAGGUGAUGUGGAGACGUGACAAGAUGGGCAUUCCAGAAAGAAGAAACGGUGUGUGCAAAGGCAUCGGGAGACUAAGUAGUUUGGCGCAGCUGAAAUGUUAAGGGUCCUGAGAGCCACGCGGGCACAUCUUGGACUGUUCUCGCCAAAACCAUGCCAUAAUUUGCUUCUCUCUCACUCUCUUUCUCUCUGUCUCUGUUUCUCACUUUCUCUAUCAGUUUACUUUGUGGAAUUGGCUCAAGUGACUGUGGCAUUGUGGGCGCUGGCGAGUCUGAACUCUGUGAGGCAGGUCAGCAGCAGCCUAGAAAUUCAGGCCUCUCAGGAGUUGGGUCAUUUUCUGAUUCUGAUGAUGGUGGUGCUGCUUUAAUCCUCAUGGGAUGAAUCCAUGGCUUUACCUCAGCUAAUUUGACAGAUGAGUGCAUGGAGGCCCAUGGCUACCUAUGCCAGGUUGGUAUUCAGGAAGAAGCAGCGCCGCCAGGGUUCUGCGCAGAGAUAAUAGUUGCUUCCGUGAAAGAGCCUCGGGAUAUUUCAUUUGGAAUGUCGACUUCAAGUGUGGCUGAACUUGGCACCAAUCUAGUGACAUUUAAAAGGCUGGCUUUGUUUCCAUAUCUCUCCCUUUUGCUGAGUCACAGAUACAGAUGACACAUUUGACGAUCAGGUGCGAGACAGCACAGGACAGCUCAAAAACAGACCGAAACAUACAAUUUGAUUAAAAGAAAUGAACACAGGAUCCUUUCUUUGAGCUCAGACCCUGCACGUGCCAAGGAAAAUGAUCUCCCCAACCCCAUGCCUCACACUGGAAAGGACUCAGAGGGCUGUGUUUGUUCGCUGGCUUUGAUUCUGCGAAUGAAAUUUUCUUUUAAGUAAAGAACAAACAAAC
Molecule: non-coding RNA, 3800 nt
Organism: Vicugna pacos (alpaca)
Lineage: Eukaryota; Metazoa; Chordata; Mammalia; Artiodactyla; Camelidae
Source: RefSeq, a predicted model, not a curated record